AAGAGAAGGCUCAGGGGUGACCUCAUCACUCUGCAACUCCCUGACAGAAAGGUGCAGCCGGCUGGGGUUGGUGAGCAGAGUGACUCUACAUUUUCUCUACCAAGAAGUACCCUUCUGUCACCUUUGACACAAGAGUUCAAACCAAUUAUGACAUAAAUAGCUGAUUUUUAGUAAAGUAUUCCAACUUUGGAUCUCGUGCUUAAUGGAAAAUAUUAAAAUUGCUUACACA
Vidua chalybeata is the source of this 229-nucleotide long non-coding RNA. RefSeq lists it as uncharacterized. The record is from RefSeq and is a predicted model, not a curated record. The transcript is spliced from 3 exons. Lineage: Eukaryota; Metazoa; Chordata; Aves; Passeriformes; Viduidae.